Non-coding RNA from Pantoea vagans C9-1, 68 nucleotides. Lineage: Bacteria; Pseudomonadati; Pseudomonadota; Gammaproteobacteria; Enterobacterales; Erwiniaceae. The record is from Rfam.
CAGGAUGAGCCGACAGGACGUCGGCGAAAGGACGGUUCGCGCCAGGGAUGGCGCGUCCGGACGGUCCG